RNAcentral lists this ribosomal RNA (2419 nucleotides) under Bacillus cereus VD048. RNAcentral describes it as "bacterial LSU rRNA". It matches the Rfam family "Bacterial large subunit ribosomal RNA", at positions 3 to 2424 of the family's 2925-position model. The record is from RNAcentral. Lineage: Bacteria; Bacillati; Bacillota; Bacilli; Caryophanales; Bacillaceae.
UUAAGUUAGAAAGGGCGCACGGUGGAUGCCUUGACACUAGGAGUCGAUGAAGGACGGGACUAACGCCGAUAUGCUUCGGGGAGCUGUAAGUAAGCUUUGAUCCGAAGAUUUCCGAAUGGGGAAACCCACUAUACGUAAUGGUAUGGUAUCCUUACCUGAAUACAUAGGGUAUGGAAGACAGACCCAGGGAACUGAAACAUCUAAGUACCUGGAGGAAGAGAAAGCAAAUGCGAUUUCCUGAGUAGCGGCGAGCGAAACGGAAUCUAGCCCAAACCAAGAGGCUUGCCUCUUGGGGUUGUAGGACAUUCUAUACGGAGUUACAAAGGAACGAGGUAGACGAAGCGACCUGGAAAGGUCCGUCACAGAGGGUAAUAACCCCGUAGUCGAAACUUCGUUCUCUCUUGAAUGUAUCCUGAGUACGGCGGAACACGUGAAAUUCCGUCGGAAUCUGGGAGGACCAUCUCCCAAGGCUAAAUACUCCCUAGUGAUCGAUAGUGAACCAGUACCGUGAGGGAAAGGUGAAAAGCACCCCGGAAGGGGAGUGAAAGAGAUCCUGAAACCGUGUGCCUACAAAUAGUCAGAGCCCGUUAAUGGGUGAUGGCGUGCCUUUUGUAGAAUGAACCGGCGAGUUACGAUCCCGUGCGAGGUUAAGUUGAAGAGGCGGAGCCGCAGCGAAAGCGAGUCUGAAUAGGGCGUUUAGUACGUGGUCGUAGACCCGAAACCAGGUGAUCUACCCAUGUCCAGGGUGAAGUUCAGGUAACACUGAAUGGAGGCCCGAACCCACGCACGUUGAAAAGUGCGGGGAUGAGGUGUGGGUAGCGGAGAAAUUCCAAUCGAACCUGGAGAUAGCUGGUUCUCCCCGAAAUAGCUUUAGGGCUAGCCUUAAGUGUAAGAGUCUUGGAGGUAGAGCACUGAUUGAACUAGGGGUCCUCAUCGGAUUACCGAAUUCAGUCAAACUCCGAAUGCCAAUGACUUAUCCUUAGGAGUCAGACUGCGAGUGAUAAGAUCCGUAGUCAAGAGGGAAACAGCCCAGAUCGCCAGCUAAGGUCCCAAAGUGUGUAUUAAGUGGAAAAGGAUGUGGAGUUGCUUAGACAACUAGGAUGUUGGCUCAGAAGCAGCCACCAUUUAAAGAGUGCGUAAUAGCUCACUAGUCGAGUGACUCUGCGCCGAAAAUGUACCGGGGCUAAAUACACCACCGAAGCUGCGAAUUGAUACCAAUGGUAUCAGUGGUAGGGGAGCGUUCUAAGUGCAGUGAAGUCAGACCGGAAGGACUGGUGGAGCGCUUAGAAGUGAGAAUGCCGGUAUGAGUAGCGAAAGACGGGUGAGAAUCCCGUCCACCGAAUGCCUAAGGUUUCCUGAGGAAGGCUCGUCCGCUCAGGGUUAGUCAGGACCUAAGCCGAGGCCGACAGGCGUAGGCGAUGGACAACAGGUUGAUAUUCCUGUACCACCUCUUUAUCGUUUGAGCAAUGGAGGGACGCAGAAGGAUAGAAGAAGCGUGCGAUUGGUUGUGCACGUCCAAGCAGUUAGGCUGAUAAGUAGGCAAAUCCGCUUAUCGUGAAGGCUGAGCUGUGAUGGGGAAGCUCCUUAUGGAGCGAAGUCUUUGAUUCCCCGCUGCCAAGAAAAGCUUCUAGCGAGAUAAAAGGUGCCUGUACCGCAAACCGACACAGGUAGGCGAGGAGAGAAUCCUAAGGUGUGCGAGAGAACUCUGGUUAAGGAACUCGGCAAAAUGACCCCGUAACUUCGGGAGAAGGGGUGCUUUCUUAACGGAAAGCCGCAGUGAAUAGGCCCAAGCGACUGUUUAGCAAAAACACAGGUCUCUGCGAAGCCGUAAGGCGAAGUAUAGGGGCUGACACCUGCCCGGUGCUGGAAGGUUAAGGAGAGGGGUUAGCGUAAGCGAAGCUCUGAACUGAAGCCCCAGUAAACGGCGGCCGUAACUAUAACGGUCCUAAGGUAGCGAAAUUCCUUGUCGGGUAAGUUCCGACCCGCACGAAAGGUGUAACGAUUUGGGCACUGUCUCAACCAGAGACUCGGUGAAAUUAUAGUACCUGUGAAGAUGCAGGUUACCCGCGACAGGACGGAAAGACCCCGUGGAGCUUUACUGUAGCCUGAUAUUGAAUUUUGGUACAGUUUGUACAGGAUAGGCGGGAGCCAUUGAAACCGGAGCGCUAGCUUCGGUGGAGGCGCUGGUGGGAUACCGCCCUGACUGUAUUGAAAUUCUAACCUACGGGUCUUAUCGACCCGGGAGACAGUGUCAGGUGGGCAGUUUGACUGGGGCGGUCGCCUCCUAAAGUGUAACGGAGGCGCCCAAAGGUUCCCUCAGAAUGGUUGGAAAUCAUUCGUAGAGUGCAAAGGCAUAAGGGAGCUUGACUGCGAGACCUACAAGUCGAGCAGGGACGAAAGUCGGGCUUAGUGAUCCGGU